AGGGCAGUAGCUCAAUUGGUAGAGUAGCGGUCUCCAAAACCGUUGGUUGGGGGUUCGAUUCCCUCCGCCCCUGCCA
This 76-nucleotide transfer RNA is filed under the name compost metagenome. Its description in RNAcentral is "tRNA-Trp". It matches the Rfam family "tRNA". From Rfam's summary of the family: Transfer RNA (tRNA) molecules are approximately 80 nucleotides in length. Their secondary structure includes four short double-helical elements and three loops (D, anti-codon, and T loops). The record is from RNAcentral.